GACGAACGCGGCGGCGUGCUUAACACAUGCAAGUCGAACGAAGAGCGAUGGAAGCUUGCUUCUAUCAAUCUUAGUGGCGAACGGGUGAGUAACGCGUAAUCAACCUGCCCUUCAGAGGGGGACAACAGUUGGAAACGACUGCUAAUACCGCAUACGAUCUAAACUCGGCAUCGAGGAUAGAUGAAAGGUGGCCUCUACAUGUAAGCUAUCACUGAAGGAGGGGAUUGCGUCUGAUUAGCUAGUUGGAGGGGUAACGGCCCACCAAGGCGAUGAUCAGUAGCCGGUCUGAGAGGAUGAACGGCCACAUUGGGACUGAGACACGGCCCAGACUCCUACGGGAGGCAGCAGUGGGGAAUCUUCCGCAAUGGACGAAAGUCUGACGGAGCAACGCCGCGUGAGUGAUGACGGCCUUCGGGUUGUAAAGCUCUGUUAAUCGGGACGAAAGGCCUUCUUGCGAAUAGUGAGAAGGAUUGACG
Molecule: ribosomal RNA, 476 nt
Filed under: Veillonella parvula
Lineage: Bacteria; Bacillati; Bacillota; Negativicutes; Veillonellales; Veillonellaceae
Description: bacterial SSU rRNA
Rfam family: Bacterial small subunit ribosomal RNA
Source: RNAcentral